Neodiprion fabricii is the source of this 311-nucleotide long non-coding RNA. RefSeq lists it as uncharacterized. The transcript has 2 exons. NCBI's taxonomy places the organism in Eukaryota, Metazoa, Arthropoda, Insecta, Hymenoptera, Diprionidae. The record is from RefSeq and is a predicted model, not a curated record.
AUCUCCCUAAAUGCAGGGGCAUUAUCACACUAAUGUCUCCCGGACAACAUCGAAGAUCUCUCUGAAAAGGAAAUCUGUGAUUUUCUCGAUUCCAAAUGGAAAGAAAUGUCAUGUGACAAGUUAGAAGGAUUACAAGUAAAAGGGAGAACAGAUUAUUUUUGCCAAUCUUGCUUCAUCCUCCACUCAGAACCUAAAUUAUUGGACCACAAAAUAUCCUUAAACCUCACGUUCCACGAGGAAAAGGCAAAAUGUUGGUUCUGCGGCCAAAGUCUGUUCGUCACGAAAAGAGGGACGAGUGGAUGCAACAAAUG